Molecule: ribosomal RNA, 425 nt
Filed under: uncultured bacterium
Lineage: Bacteria
Description: bacterial SSU rRNA
Rfam family: Bacterial small subunit ribosomal RNA
Source: RNAcentral
UAGGGAAUAUUGGGCAAUGGCCGAGAGGCUGACCCAGCCAAGCCGCGUGCAGGAGGAAGGCCUUAUGGGUUGUAAACUGCUUUUAGCCGGGGCUAAAGUUCCCCUCGCGCAGGGGAAGUNAAGGUACCGGCGGAAUAAGGAUCGGCUAACUCCGUGCCAGCAGCCGCGGUAAUACGGAGGAUCCGAGCGUUAUCCGGAUUCAUUGGGUUUAAAGGGUGCGCAGGCGGGGCUUUAAGUCCGCGGUGAAAGGCACGCGCUCAACGGGUGCACUGCCAUGGAUACUGGAGUCCUAGAUCAUGGACGGCGUGGGCGGAACAUGUCAAGUAGCGGUGAAAUGCGUAGAUAUGACAUGGAACACCGAUCGGGAAGCCGGCUCACGAGGCCAUGGAUGACGCUCAGGCACGAAAGCGUGGGGAUCAAACAGG